GGCGCAGCUUACACAUGCAAGUCGAGCGGUAACAGGGGGUGCUUGCACCCCGCUGACGAGCGGCGGACGGGUGAGUAAUGCAUAGGAAUCUGCCCAGUAGUGGGGGAUAGCCCGGGGAAACCCGGAUUAAUACCGCAUACGCCCUUUGGGGGAAAGCAGGGGAUCUUCGGACCUUGCGCUAUUGGAUGAGCCUAUGUCGGAUUAGCUAGUUGGUGGGGUAAAGGCCUACCAAGGCGACGAUCCGUAGCUGGUCUGAGAGGAUGAUCAGCCACAUCGGGACUGAGACACGGCCCGAACUCCUACGGGAGGCAGCAGUGGGGAAUAUUGGACAAUGGGGGCAACCCUGAUCCAGCCAUGCCGCGUGUGUGAAGAAGGCUUUCGGGUUGUAAAGCACUUUCAGUGAGGAGGAAAACCUUCUGGUUAAUACCCAUGAGGCUUGACGUUACUCACAGAAGAAGCACCGGCUAACUCCGUGCCAGCAGCCGCGGUAAUACGGAGGGUGCAAGCGUUAAUCGGAAUUACUGGGCGUAAAGCGCGCGUAGGUGGUUUGAUAAGCGAGAUGUGAAAGCCCCGGGCUUAACCUGGGAACGGCAUUUCGAACUGUCAGGCU
RNAcentral lists this ribosomal RNA (610 nucleotides) under Marinobacter sp. RNAcentral's name for it is "bacterial SSU rRNA". It matches the Rfam family "Bacterial small subunit ribosomal RNA", at positions 41 to 642 of the family's 1533-position model. The record is from RNAcentral. Lineage: Bacteria; Pseudomonadati; Pseudomonadota; Gammaproteobacteria; Pseudomonadales; Marinobacteraceae.